AGAGAUGAGGUCUAUACAGGACAACUUUACCGAUGUACGCCGCUACGGGCGUGUUGUAGGCCGUCGACAUUCGUCUUGAGGACUGUUGUGGCUUGAGUGUGGCCAUGCCUGAGGGAGAAACUACAUCAUGGAGAGAUGCGUCUUGUCGGCUGCCGCUCAUGAGGAUGUCCAAGAUUCUGCUAUUGUGGAAGACUGCACUUCAUGUUUUCUUGUAAUGCAAAAGGAAAUUGCUCUAGAUUCCUACACAGCGAUUGAUUAUCCUUCUCACAACGCUCACAAGCAAUUUCACAUGCAUAAAAAAAAUCAGUUAUUAGAUCCAAAUAAAUGUUCUCCUGAUAGAGUUUUCUUCUGAGCGUAUGCAUCCAUGCCGAUGCUUGCU
This 379-nucleotide long non-coding RNA is filed under the name Hordeum vulgare. Its description in RNAcentral is "long non-coding RNA (HVUL_LNC002332)". Lineage: Eukaryota; Viridiplantae; Streptophyta; Magnoliopsida; Poales; Poaceae. The record is from RNAcentral.